Molecule: ribosomal RNA, 239 nt
Filed under: uncultured bacterium
Lineage: Bacteria
Description: partial 16S ribosomal RNA
Rfam family: Bacterial small subunit ribosomal RNA
Source: RNAcentral
CGAGUGGCGGACGGGUGAGUAAUGUCUGGGAAACUGCCCGAUGGAGGGGGAUAACUACUGGAAACGGUAGCUAAUACCGCAUAACGUCGCAAGACCAAAGAGGGGGACCUUCGGGCCUCUUGCCAUCGGAUGAACCCAUAUGGGAUUAGCUAGUAGGUAAGGUAACGGCUUACCUAGGCGACGAUCCCUAGCUGGUCUGAGAGGAUGAUCAGCCACACUGGGACUGAGACACGGCCCAG